Danio aesculapii is the source of this 244-nucleotide long non-coding RNA. RefSeq lists it as uncharacterized. The record is from RefSeq and is a predicted model, not a curated record. NCBI's taxonomy places the organism in Eukaryota, Metazoa, Chordata, Actinopteri, Cypriniformes, Danionidae. The transcript has 3 exons.
AGUUUCUGAAGUGGCUAUGUAGGGUGAGUCGUUUGCACAGGCGUCAGCGUUAAGUGCGCUGCCACACGUGUCAGACCUACUGUUUGGCUUCAUAAGCUCCCAAUGUAUCAUCUGGAGUGACAGGACUGUGUAAAAUGUCAUCUGGAUCAUGGAUGUCUCGAGGCUUCACUCCGAGUGAUCCUCAGCAAACUGCUCUAGAGCUCCUCCUGGUGGCAAAUGCUCUUGGCCCUGCUGAGUUUAUGAC